AAAUAAAAGAAUCAAAUUUUAUUAUAUAAAAAGUAUAAUAAUACCACUCGGAUCCACCUCACUGUGAUCCGCCUCACUGGGACCUGCCAGUGCAGGACCCUCUGGCAAUGGAGCCGGUGCGGCAACGGAGAUCGGUGAAGGCACCUCAACCUCUGGGUAGACUGUAAAUGCGAACAUCGUCGUCUGUCUCCUGGUGCCAUAUCUAUAAUUUUUUAUAUAUAAAUAAAUAUAAUAUUAAAUAAUAAU
RNAcentral lists this long non-coding RNA (246 nucleotides) under Elaeis guineensis (African oil palm). RNAcentral's name for it is "long non-coding RNA (EGUI_LNC079187)". Lineage: Eukaryota; Viridiplantae; Streptophyta; Magnoliopsida; Arecales; Arecaceae. The record is from RNAcentral.